This 452-nucleotide ribosomal RNA is filed under the name uncultured Thiobacillus sp. RNAcentral's name for it is "bacterial SSU rRNA". It matches the Rfam family "Bacterial small subunit ribosomal RNA", at positions 924 to 1382 of the family's 1533-position model. Lineage: Bacteria; Pseudomonadati; Pseudomonadota; Betaproteobacteria; Nitrosomonadales; Thiobacillaceae. The record is from RNAcentral.
CACAAGCGGUGGAUGAUGUGGAUUAAUUCGAUGCAACGCGAAAACCUUACCUACCCUUGACAUGUCUGGAACCUUGGUGAGAGCCGAGGGUGCCUUCGGGAGCCAGAACACAGGUGCUGCAUGGCUGUCGUCAGCUCGUGUCGUGAGAUGUUGGGUUAAGUCCCGCAACGAGCGCAACCCUUAUCAUUAGUUGCUACGCAAGGGCACUCUAAUGAGACUGCCGGUGACAAACCGGAGGAAGGUGGGGAUGACGUCAAGUCCUCAUGGCCCUUAUGGGUAGGGCUUCACACGUCAUACAAUGGUCGGUACAGAGGGUUGCCAAGCCGCGAGGCGGAGCCAAUCCCACAAAGCCGAUCGUAGUCCGGAUUGUUCUCUGCAACUCGAGAGCAUGAAGUCGGAAUCGCUAGUAAUCGCAGGUCAGCAUACUGCGGUCGAAUACGUUCCCGGGCCUU